GAGAGUUGAUCCUGGCUCAGGAUGAACGCUGGCGGCGUGCCUAACACAUGCAAGUCGAACGGAAACCAGACGCUUCGGAGACUUCGGUCAAUGUUGUUGGUUUAGUGGCGGACGGGUGAGUAACGCGUGGAUAACCUGCCUCAUACAGGGGGAUAACAGUUAGAAAUGACUGCUAAUACCGCAUAAGCGCACGGGAUCGCAUGUUCCUGUGUGAAAAACUCCGGUGGUAUGAGAUGGAUCCGCGUCUGAUUAGCUAGUUGGCGGGGUAACAGCCCACCAAGGCGACGAUCAGUAGCCGGCCUGAGAGGGUGAACGGCCACAUUGGGACUGAGACACGGCCCAAACUCCUACGGGAGGCAGCAGUGGGGGAUAUUGCACAAUGGGGGAAACCCUGAUGCAGCGAACCGCCGCGUGAGUGAAGAAGUAUUUCGGUAUGUAAAGCUCUAUCAGCAGGGAAGAUAAUGACGGUACCUGACUAAGAAGCACCGGCUAAAUACGUGCCAGCAGCAGC
This 511-nucleotide ribosomal RNA is filed under the name uncultured bacterium. RNAcentral describes it as "bacterial SSU rRNA". It matches the Rfam family "Bacterial small subunit ribosomal RNA", at positions 7 to 518 of the family's 1533-position model. The record is from RNAcentral.